GAUGAACGCUAGCGGGAGGCCUAACACAUGCAAGCCGAGCGGUAUUUGUUCUUCGGAACAGAGAGAGCGGCGCACGGGUGCGAAACACGUGUGCAACCUGCCUUUAUCUGGGGGAUAGCCUUUCGAAAGGAAGAUUAAUACCCCAUAAUAUAUUGAGUGGCAUCAUUUGAUAUUGAAAACUCCGGUGGAUAGAGAUGGGCACGCGCAAGAUUAGAUAGUUGGUGAGGUAACGGCUCACCAAGUCAAUGAUCUUUAGGGGGCCUGAGAGGGUGAUCCCCCACACUGGUACUGAGACACGGACCAGACUCCUACGGGAGGCAGCAGUGAGGAAUAUUGGACAAUGGGUUAGCGCCUGAUCCAGCCAUCCCGCGUGAAGGACGACGGCCCUAUGGGUUGUAAACUUCUUUUGUAUAGGGAUAAACCUACUCUCGUGAGAGUAGCUGAAGGUACUAUACGAAUAAGCACCGGCUAACUCCGUG
This 479-nucleotide ribosomal RNA is filed under the name uncultured bacterium. RNAcentral's name for it is "partial 16S ribosomal RNA". It matches the Rfam family "Bacterial small subunit ribosomal RNA", at positions 28 to 507 of the family's 1533-position model. The record is from RNAcentral.